GCUACUUUAGUUGAAAAUAUAAUACUGAGUUGCAAAUUCAGAGAUGAAGGGGCACUUCAAGUAGAU
This 66-nucleotide transfer RNA is filed under the name Eualetes tulipa. RNAcentral's name for it is "tRNA-Cys". Lineage: Eukaryota; Metazoa; Mollusca; Gastropoda; Littorinimorpha; Vermetidae. The record is from RNAcentral.